This 306-nucleotide unclassified non-coding RNA is filed under the name Hevea brasiliensis (rubber tree). The record is from RNAcentral. Lineage: Eukaryota; Viridiplantae; Streptophyta; Magnoliopsida; Malpighiales; Euphorbiaceae.
ACUUCCUUUUAAAAGAAAAGAAAGAAGUCAUGUACCUAUUUUGUAGGAAUCCUUCUUAAAAGCUCCCAGGGGUUUUGGUUCUUGAUGAACACUAAAACUGAAGUACUUGUGGUAGAUGGAACAUAAGAUAAGUAUAAUUUCAUUAAUACUUCAAGUUCAUGUAGAAUCAAUUUGUAGUCUUUUCAAAAUUUUGGACUUAACAGUGUUCUUCUCUUAAAGAUUGAGUAAUAUCUUAUUCUUCCUCUGCCUCUCUUCUAUGCAUUGAGUAAAUAUGUUUUAUGCAGGUUUUUGGGAGAAACCUGUCAU